Molecule: ribosomal RNA, 301 nt
Filed under: uncultured bacterium
Lineage: Bacteria
Description: partial 16S ribosomal RNA
Rfam family: Bacterial small subunit ribosomal RNA
Source: RNAcentral
CAGUCGCCACGGGAAUACGAAGGGGGCUAGCGUUGCUCGGAAUUACUGGGCGUAAAGGGAGCGUAGGCGGACAUUUAAGUCAGGGGUGAAAUCCCGGGGCUCAACCUCGGAAUUGCCUUUGAUACUGGGUGUCUUGAGUAUGAGAGAGGUGUGUGGAACUCCGAGUGUAGAGGUGAAAUUCGUAGAUAUUCGGAAGAACACCAGUGGCGAAGGCGACACACUGGCUCAUUACUGACGCUGAGGCUCGAAAGCGUGGGGAGCAAACAGGAUUAGAUACCCGCGUAGUCCCUGUCUCUUAUAC